GAGUCGGACCUGCCCGGUGAGGUUUUUAACGGCCGCGGUACUCUGACCGUGCAAAGGUAGCAUAAUAAUUUGCCUUAUAAUUGAAGGCUAGUAUGAAUGGUUUGACGAGAAUAAAGCUGUCUCUUUGCAACUUAAUAGAAAUUUAUUUACGGAUGAAAAAGUCCGUAUGUUAUUAAUAGACAAGAAGACCCUAUCGAGCUUAAAAAAAAUUAGUAGGAUAAGAAUUAAAUUAAACUAAAAAAUCAUCUACUAAAAAUUUUGGUUGGGGCGACUAAGGAACAAAUAAAGCUUCUUUAAAAAUAGUUUUUGCCUAUUAGCUUUGAUCCGAAAAUUUUCGAUUAAUAAAAUUAGUUACCGUAGGGAUAACAGCAUUAUCUUUUUUGAGAGCUCUUAUCGAAAAAAAGGUUUGUGACCUCGAUGUUGGACCAGAAUGUCCUGAAGAUGCAGCAGUCUUUAAGGGUUGGUCUGUUCGACCAUUAAUAUUCUACGUGAUCUGAGUUCG
This 502-nucleotide ribosomal RNA is filed under the name Cancilla cf. fibula MITRI030-15. Its description in RNAcentral is "partial 16S ribosomal RNA". It matches the Rfam family "Bacterial large subunit ribosomal RNA", at positions 1850 to 2613 of the family's 2925-position model. The record is from RNAcentral. Lineage: Eukaryota; Metazoa; Mollusca; Gastropoda; Neogastropoda; Mitridae.